This 461-nucleotide unclassified non-coding RNA is filed under the name Hevea brasiliensis (rubber tree). The record is from RNAcentral. Lineage: Eukaryota; Viridiplantae; Streptophyta; Magnoliopsida; Malpighiales; Euphorbiaceae.
GUGUGCCUCCUAAUUGGAGGCCAGAGUUGGAUGAAGAAAGAGGGGAAACUGAUCCGUUAACCACAUCAGAAUUUGGGGCUUCGCCAGCUGACUCAGGGAAUCCCAGAAUACGUUUUUGUAGGAAGUGCAACCAGUUAAAACCUCCUCGAUGCCAUCACUGUUCCGUUUGUGGAAGGUGUGUGCUGAAGAUGGACCAUCAUUGUGUGUGGGUUGUCAACUGUGUUGGAGCAUUAAACUACAAGUAUUUCCUUCUCUUCCUGUUCUAUACAUUCCUUGAGACCACUGUUGUCACUUUAUCAUUACUGCCACAAUUUAUUGCAUUCUUCAGUGAUGGAGAGAUACCUGGGACUCCUGGCACUCUUGCGACUACUUUCCUUGCUUUUGUCUUAAACCUUGCUUUUGCUUUGAGCGUUUUGGGAUUUCUGAUUAUGCACAUAUCAUUGGUGUCUGGUAACACCACG